Molecule: ribosomal RNA, 474 nt
Filed under: uncultured bacterium
Lineage: Bacteria
Description: bacterial SSU rRNA
Rfam family: Bacterial small subunit ribosomal RNA
Source: RNAcentral
AUCCUGGCUCAGGAUGAACGCUGGCGGCGUGCCUAACACAUGCAAGUCGAGCGAUUACUUCGGUAAAGAGCGGCGGACGGGUGAGUAACGCGUGGGUAACCUGCCUCAUACACAUGGAUAACAUACCGAAAGGUAUGCUAAUACAGGAUAAUAUAAGAGAUUCACAUGGAUUUCUUAUCAAAGCUCCGGCGGUAUGAGAUGGACCCGCGUCUGAUUAGCUAGUUGGUAAGGUAAUGGCUUACCAAGGCGACGAUCAGUAGCCGACCUGAGAGGGUGAUCGGCCACAUUGGAACUGAGACACGGUCCAAACUCCUACGGGAGGCAGCAGUGGGGAAUAUUGCACAAUGGGCGAAAGCCUGAUGCAGCAACGCCGCGUGAGUGAUGAAGGCCUUCGGGUCGUAAAACUCUGUCCUCAAGGAAGAUAAUGACGGUACUUGAGGAGGAAGCCCCGGCUAACUACGUGCCAGCCGCCGC